UGGCAGUGAGCUGGGCAGGGAGGAAGGGGU
RNAcentral lists this non-coding RNA (30 nucleotides) under Homo sapiens (human). Lineage: Eukaryota; Metazoa; Chordata; Mammalia; Primates; Hominidae. The record is from RNAcentral.